RNAcentral lists this ribosomal RNA (492 nucleotides) under uncultured bacterium. RNAcentral describes it as "partial 16S ribosomal RNA". It matches the Rfam family "Bacterial small subunit ribosomal RNA", at positions 29 to 507 of the family's 1533-position model. The record is from RNAcentral.
AGUGAACGCUGGCGGUAGGCCUAACACAUGCGAGUCGAACGGCAGCACAGUAAGAGCUUGCUCUUACGGGUGGCGAGUGGCGGACGGGUGAGGAAUACAUCGGAAUCUACUUUUUCGUGGGGGAUAACGUAGGGAAACUUACGCUAAUACCGCAUACGACCUACGGGUGAAAGCAGGGGAUCUUCGGACCUUGCGCGAUUGAAUGAGCCGAUGUCGGAUUAGCUAGUUGGCGGGGUAAAGGCCCACCAAGGCGACGAUCCGUAGCUGGUCUGAGAGGAUGAUCACCCACACUGGAACUGAGACACGGUCCAGACUCCUACGGGACGCAGCAGUGGGGAAUAUUGGACAAUGGGCGCAAGCCUGAUCCAGCCAUACCGCGUGGGUGAAGAAGGCCUUCGGGUUGUAAAGCCCUUUUGUUGGGAAAGAAAAGCAGCAGGUUAAUACCCCGCUGUUCUGACGGUACCCAAAGAAUAAGCACCGGCUAACUUCGUG